CCUACGGGUGGCAGCAGUAGGGAAUGUUGCGCAAUGGGGGAAACCCUGACGCAGCAACGCCGCGUGAUAGAUGAAGGCCUUCGGGGUGUAAAGAUCUGUCAGUGGGGACGAAACCUGACGGUACCGACAGAGGAAGCACCGGCUAACUCCGUGCCAGCAGCCGCGGUAAUACGGGGGGGGCAAGCGUUGUCCGGAAUCAUUGGGCGUAAAGAGUUCGUAGGUGGCACGUUAAGGCUGGUGUUAAAGGCGGCCGCUCCACUUCCGUAGGGCACUGGAUACUGGCGAGCUUGACUGCGGUAGAGGUAACGGGAAUUCCUGGUGUAGCGGUGACAUGCGUAGAUAUCAGGCG
This 349-nucleotide ribosomal RNA is filed under the name uncultured bacterium. RNAcentral's name for it is "partial 16S ribosomal RNA". It matches the Rfam family "Bacterial small subunit ribosomal RNA", at positions 338 to 703 of the family's 1533-position model. The record is from RNAcentral.